GUCUUUUCUUCGUGCCCUAUUCUUCUUCCACGCCGAAACCCCUCUUCCUCUUCUUCGUUGAGCUCGCGACACCAACCUUUCUUCUUCUUUUUCCCACUGAGCCCAAACUUCUCUCCCAUUUCACUCUCACGCCGUCGCUACCAUCUACUCCCGAGCCUUCACCUCCUCGCGAUCUCUCACCCGUGCCCUAAUUUUUCCUUCCGAUCUUCUGUCGCAUCGACGCCGCCGCACGAAGCAGCGCCGACGUCGUACAACUGACGCCUCACCGAAGCUUCCUCUCCCCUACUGACGUCUCAUUGUCGCUGAGGUCCUCACCGCGUCGAUCACCACAGAGAGCACCGUCGGCACCAGCCUCACGUCUUUGCCCUAGAGCGUCGUCACCUCCUUUCUGCCCUUUUCUAAUCUUGAGCUUUUGUGCCAGCACAGAUCCAUCAUCGUGUACCCUAGCAACACUGUUUCCACCCGAGGGCAAGGUUUUCUUCAACUCAGUUGAAGGGACUUUGUGGCGUCAUCGAUCACCGGUGUCGACCAAGGCGUAAUUGUUGGAUGCCACCCAUCAAGCCACGAGAUGGAAUAGGAGUUGCAGGUUUAAUCAGUAGCAUUACUGCUCUGUUGAUUCGGGUUGGCAAGUGUUGAGUUGGAGAUUCUAAUUCCAGACGAGCAUCUCAAUGUCGGUUUGGUUGACACGAUCUACAUUUUGGGGCGGAUAUAGGGUAGAUACUUGUGGAGUCACUUGGAGUAUCUUGUCUGCCGGUCCUACGUCACAUCCGAAGACCGCUUAGAGUUUCAUUUACUCUUUACUUAUAUUUGGUAUUUGGUGUUUUUGGUGUUGUUAUUGUAUUUGUGUUUUGUGGUUGUUGUCUAAAGCCUAUCCGGCUAGCAGUUGUUUUUAGUUUGUAUGGUUUUUCUUUAUCGAUUUUUCGCGGUGUUGGUUUUUAGUAUAGCCGAGUGAGCUGUUAAAUAUAUAUAUAUAGCUGUGUGGUUGUGUUUA
This is a long non-coding RNA of Zingiber officinale, 991 nucleotides long. RefSeq lists it as uncharacterized. The transcript has 4 exons. Lineage: Eukaryota; Viridiplantae; Streptophyta; Magnoliopsida; Zingiberales; Zingiberaceae. The record is from RefSeq and is a predicted model, not a curated record.